Molecule: unclassified non-coding RNA, 3575 nt
Filed under: Mizuhopecten yessoensis (Yesso scallop)
Lineage: Eukaryota; Metazoa; Mollusca; Bivalvia; Pectinida; Pectinidae
Description: n-alpha-acetyltransferase 60-like, transcript variant X1
Source: RNAcentral
UUCCGGGAAACUGUUUACGUUUUCAGACAACGCUGAAAAUGAACCUUUUGAAUCAAAUUGCGGUAUUUGAAGUAUCUGAUAUGGACGAGAGUUAGUUUUUUCGAGAAGGCCUACUGACAGCAAUGGAGUGGCGUACAUGGUGUCUAUUGAGGUAAUCAAUGACAAAAUAAAAUUUUGCCAGAGAACAUUGUGAUAGUAAAGCAGCCAUGUUGGUCAAGUGCUGAUGUUUCUGGAGGGGACAUGUGUCAGCCAAUGUCCUUCAGUGUCCAGAGGGAGGUUCAGCUUCGAUUUCUGUGUCCAGCAGAUAUUGAUGAGGUCAAGAAGUUGUGCAGAGAAUGGUUUCCAAUAGAAUAUCCGGAUACUUGGUACCAAGAAAUAACCUCCAACCCCAAGUUUUAUUCAUUGGCUGCAACCUACCAUUCAAGAAUAGUGGGAAUGAUUGUGUCAGAGGUCAAGUUACUAUCUUCCAUCAAUAAAGAGGAUGCUGACAUUCUGGCCAAUCAUCAUCCUCCGACUUCUCAGGUUGCCUACAUACUGAGCCUAGGGGUGGUUGUGGACUUCAGGAAACACGGGAUUGCUUCCUUGCUAUUGGACAGCCUGAUCUCUUACCUAACAUCAAAAGAUCGCUGUAAUUGUAAGGCUGUAUACCUUCAUGUGCUUGCUACAAAUGUAAUUGCUAUCCGGUUCUACGAGAAGCGUCGAUUCCAAGCUCACAGUUUCCUGCCUUAUUACUACUCUAUUCAGGGUAAACCCAGGGAUGGAUAUUUGUAUGUGUUGUACGUCAAUGGAGGAAAACCACCCUGGUCUUUUAUUGAUUACCUGGUCAACUGUGGAGUGAUGGUGUCCAGGCUUCAGCCGUGCGCCUUGCCAAGACAAAUUGUGCGGUCAGUUCGGGGAUGGCUGUGUCGUCUACUUGCAGGAGCCACAUCCAACUACUCUAGUUAGUUGUCAUUCCAACCUGUUUUUAUAUGUGUGUCACAGAGUACAAAUGUUCAUUAGUGUCCCACCAUUAAUUGUAUCAUGUUCUCUUAUGUUACAUGAAAAAUGUAAACUAAUUUAUUCGACAGCCAAAAUUGUUAACCAACAACAGUAUUUCGUUUUUGAUUGCUAGUUUUAUCUCUGGCAACAAAAAUAGGUAUACGGUACAAAAAAGUUUGUAUGUGUGACUGAUUGACAAUAAGUGCAAUAAAUAUGCAGAUAUAGCUUUAUAGUAUGAUGGUAUGAAUAUCAUGUAAUACAGACACAUGUAUGUAACAUCCAGUUUACAAGACCAUUCUAAUUAAAAUUAAAGUAAUUGUAGCUUUAAAUCCAGUAUUUGAUACAAAUUUGUUUUUACAAAGUGUGAAAGUGUUAAAUGUUAAUGUCAGAUCGGGGUAGUAGCUGCUACCGAACGCACUACCUUUCUUAUUGUAGUUUGGUAGCUUUGUUACCAAGGUCUAACGCUGUACAAUUAGUGACAUUUGGUUUGACGACAAGCAAUAUUCCUAUGUUGAUUUUGUUUUAUUUAGACAUGUGCUGUAAUUUCAUCUGAGUUGUGGAUGUCUUCUGAAUAUGGGCACUACCAGAACACUUUGGGACCUGUUUACGAAUAAGUCUUUAUCCACCAUGACUAGCAGACAUUGUCUUUAGACUUCAAACACAAAUGUAGGUAAAUUUUACAUAGGCAUUAUUUUCUGAAAGGAGUUUCUCAUAUGAGGUAAUGGGGAUAUGGAAAUUAAGAAUUCCCCAUACCUACAGAAGAUUAACUCUUUUCAUAUUUUGUGUUCAGAACAUAACGAUAGCUUAGAAAAAUUGUAUAUUAGGGGUGGAUAAUUCAAGAAAUUUUGAUAUCACAGUAUUUUAGAGAACAUUGAAAUAUAUCACAAGAAUAUAGUUUUGUUAGAAAUUCAAUACAUUUAAAGUCAGCUUUUCAUAGACUGAAUGUAAAGUGAACACCACUCUAGCAUGUUUUGAUGAUUAUAUGUGUGAUAUUGGAAGUUAACGAUCAAAGCAAGUUUAAUUUUGGAUACUACAUGUAACACUGUUUCUGUGAAAUUAUUUCAUAACUGCUUAGUAUGAUUUUUUUGCAAUAUAAUGCCAUUUCAAAAACAAAUUACAAUAUAUUAAUGAACAGAUAUUGCGAUAUAUUGGUGAUUAUUAUUGCCAACCCCUAGUUUGUAAAUCUUGUUACAUUGCCAAGUUGGGAGGUAAUAGGUAGAGGUUGGCACAGUUAAUUAUGUUGGGUAAAAUGUACUUACUAUCUUCAUGUCCUAUGUUAAGAUGCAACACAAAGCUAAUUGAUGGGUGAUUUUGUUGGGUGAUGAAGAAUGCAGGGUUUAAAUGUGGUUAUGCUGGUUACGUGUGCUGUUAACUGGUAUAGCAAAGAAAUGUCAGUUUUCUGACCUCAAGUACCCUUUCUUACAUUACACUAGUCCUCCUUCUAAUAAACUGACAAAAAUCUUGUAGAUGCACUAGGAUCAUUUAUGAACAAACAAAGAAAAUUAGUCUUUAUGAUUAUUAAAUGCAUUUGCAACCAUAAUCAAAUACCAUACAUGUAUCGAACAUGACCUUGUUGUAGACCAACCACUGCUGUUGUUGGUAUCUAUGGUAAAAUUGAUAGACCGACAAGUGCUGUUGUUGGUAUCUAUGGUAACAUUGAUAGACCGACAAGUCCUGUUGUUGGUAUCUAUGGUAAGUGUUAAACCAACCACUGCUGUUGUUGGUAUCUAUGGUAACAUUGAUAGACUAACAAGUGGUGUUGUUGGUAUCUAUGGUAACAUUGAUAGACCGACAAGUGCUUCUGUUGGUAUCUAUGGUAACAUUGAUAGACCGACAAGUGGUGUUGUUGGUAUCUAUGGUAAGUGUUAAACCAACCACUGCUGUUGUUAGUAUCUAUGGUAACAUUGAUAGACUGACAAGUGCUGUUGUUUGUAUCUAUGGUAAGUGUUAAACCAACCACUGCUGUUGUUGGUAUUAAUGGUAACAUUGAUAGACUGACAAGUGCUGUUGUUGGUAAUUAAGGUAAUGGUGGUUGACCAACCACUGCUGUUGUUAGUAAUUAAGGUAAUGGUGGUUAACCAACCACUGAUGUUGUUGGUAUCUUUGGUAACAGUGUAAGACCAACCACUGCUGUUUUUGAUAACUAAGGUAACAGUGGUAGACCAACCAUUGCUGUUGUUGGUAUCUAAGGUAACAGUGUUAAACCAACCUCUGCUGUUUUUGGUAUCUAAGGUAAUAGUUGUAGACCAACCACUUCUGUUGUUGGUAUCUAAGCAAGUGUUAAACCAGACCAACCACUGCCGUUGUUGGUAUCUAUGGUAACAGUGUUAGACCAUCCACUGCCGUUGUUGGUAUCUUAGGUAAUGAUGGUAGAUCAACCACUGCAGUUGUUGGUAUCUAUGGUAACAGUGUUAGACGAACCACUGUAACAGUUUUAGAUGAACCACUGCCGUUGUUGGUAUCCACGGUAAUGAUGGUAGAUCAACCACUGCAGUUGUUGGUAUAUAAGGUAACAGUGUUAGACGAACCACUGCCGUUAUUGGUAUCUAUGGUAACAGUUUUAGACCAACCACUGCUGUUGUUGGGACCUAAGGUAA